GUUAAGGGUUUCUUUUAUGGAUAUAAAAUUUGAUUAUGGUUUAUAAAUUGUUAAAAUAAUAUUAUUUAAUUUUAAUUUAUAAUGUGGGCAAUAUUAUUUUACCACGGUAAUUAAUUGUUUGUAUAAUGCUUGUUCCAGAAUAAUCGGCUAGGCUAGUUAAACUUAAACUUUAUUUUGUUUUAAUUAUAAAUAUUAAAAGCUAAUUUUAACAAUUUUAGGUUAAAUUGUAAUUGUUUGUUUAGGAUAUUUAUAGUUUUAAGUUUUGGGAAGCGAAUUAGAUUAGUACCUAAUUAGUCAAAAUUUAAAAGUGCAGAAGUAAAGUUGUAUUUAAACUGAAAGAAUAUUGGCAGAUUUUCUAAAUUAUCUUUGGAGGUUGAGUAAUAAUUGAGAACCCUCAUUAACUACUUUUAAUUUGGUCUCGUGUAUGAUCGUUUAUUUUUACAUGCUUAAGGUUUGUAAUGAAAAAUAUUUAUUUUUAAAAAUAGAUAUAUAUGCGGUUUAUUUAAAAGUUUGAAUUUGACCUACAAUAAGUUAUUUUGUGGAUUCGUAAUUUAGUGAUUGCGAUAAAAAUGUAAAAGACAGUAAAAAAAAAUUUUUAUGGUUUUUUGAAGAUUAUUUAGAUGUGGUACAAAUCAUCCAUCAAUUGCCCAAAGGGGAGUAAGUUGUAGUAAAGUAGAUUUAGGGGAACCUUAAUCUAGUA
RNAcentral lists this non-coding RNA (700 nucleotides) under Syngamus trachea. The record is from RNAcentral. Lineage: Eukaryota; Metazoa; Nematoda; Chromadorea; Rhabditida; Syngamidae.